AAAAUUGAAAAACAUAUAAGUUCUAACAAUAUAAAAAGUUUGAGAAUUUAAAAACACAAAUAAGAAAUGAAAGGAAAUUUAUGGAAAAAAAAAAAGAAAAGACAAAAGAUUUGGAAUAAAAAAUAGAAAAAUAAAAUUUUUAAAACGACGAAAAAUUAAAAUAAGAAAAAAAAUUAAAGCAAAAGAAAAAAGAUAAAUAAAGCAUGAAAAAAGAAAAAAAACAAAAAUACAACAAAAAAUUAUAAAAGGUAAGAAAAUGAAAGAGGACAAAAAAUGAAUAAAAAUUUCAAAAAUGAAAUGGAAUGACAAAAUGAAAAUAAAAUUAGUUUAAAAAAUAAAAAAAAAUUGAAAAACAUAUAAGACCUAACAAUAUAAAAAGUCAGACAAAAAAUUAAAAAAGAGAAAAGUUAAUGCAAAAUAAAAAAAAAGUAUGAGAAUUUAAAAGCGCAAAUAAGAAAUGAAAGGAAAUUUGAGGAAAAAAAGAGACAAAAGAUUUGGAAUAAAAAAUAGAAAAAUAGAAAAUUUUAAAACAACAAAAAAAAUUAAAAACAAGUAAAAAUGAAAGCAUAUGAAAAAAAAGCAAAAAGAAGGCAAAUUAUGAAGGGAAAAAGUUAUUAAAAAAUUACAAAGUAGAAAAAAAAGAAAAUAAAAAAAUAAAUUAAGAGAAAAAAUUAAAUAAAAUACCAAAAAAGGAAAAAAUAAAAAUAAACAAAGUAAGAAAAUAAAAAAUUAGCGAAUCAAAAAAUAUAAAAAGACAAAAUGAAUAAAAAUUUCAAAUAUAAAAUGAAAAAAACUAUUGGUUCAGAAUGUACAAAGAAAAAUAAAAAAAAUAUAACAAACAGAGGAAAAAGAUAUAAAAUAUGAAAGAUGAAAAAUAAAAUAAAAGAAAGUGCACAAAAAAAGAAGUUUGAGGUUUUAAAACUAUAAAGAAGAAAUAAAAAAAGGUGUGAACAAAAAGAUUUAAGAAAAAAAAUGAAAUACAAAAUAUAUAAAAUAAAAUUUGAGAAAAAGAAGAAAAAAAUAAAAAAUGAAGAGGCAAAAAUAUGAAAUAAAAGAAAAAGAAAAAAUUUAUAGAAAAUUUUUAAACAAAGAAAAAAGUGAACAAAAAAGAAUGAUGGCAUAUAAAAAAAAAGAAGAAAAAUUUGGAAGGAGAAAAAGUUAAUGAAAAAAAUAUAAAAAUGCAAUAGAAAAUAACCAAGAAUGAUAAAAGAAAAAAAGAUAGAAAAAUAAAAAAUUCUAAAACUUUAUAAAAAUUUAUGAAAUUAUAAAUAAAGAAAGAAAAUAAAAAAGAAAAAAAGUAAAGCAAAAGAAAAAAGAUAAAUAAAGCACAAAAAAAACAAAAAUACAACAAAAAAUAUAAAAAGUAAGAAAAUAAAAAAAGGACAAAAAUUGAAUAAAAAUUUCAAAAAUGAAAUGGAAUGACAAAAUGAAAAAAAAAUUAGUUUAAAAAAUACAAAAAAUUGAAAAACAUAUAAGACCUAAUAAUAUAAAAAGUCAGAGAAAAAAUUAAAAAAGAGCAAAGUUAAUGCAAAAUAAAAAAAAAGUAUGAGAAUUUAAAAACGCAAAUAAGAAAUGAAAGGAAAUUUGUGGAAAAAAAAAAGAGAAGCAAGAAAAGAAUAAAAAUGAAAGCAAAAGAUUUGGAAUAAAAAACAGAAAAAUAAAAAUUUUUAAAACAACAAAAAAAUUAAAACAAGUAAAAAUGAAAGCAUAUGAAAAAAAGGCAAAGAGAAGGAAAAUUGUGAAGGGAAAAAGUUAUUAAAAAAAUUACAAAAUGGAAAAAAGAAAAAUAAAUUAAGGGAAAAAAUUAAAUAAAAUACGAAAAAAGGGAAAAAUAAAAAUAAACAAAGAAAGAAAAUAAAAAAUUAGCGAAUCAAAAAAAUAUAAAAAGACAAAAUGAAUAAAAAUUUCAAAUAUAAAAUGGAAAAAACUUUUAGUUUAGAAUGUACAAAGAAAAAGAAAAAAAAUAAUAGCAAAUAGAGGAAAAAGAUAUAAAAUAUGAAAGAUGAAAAAUAAAAUAAAAGAAAGUGCACAAAAAAAGAAGUUUGAGGUUUUAAAAUUAUAAAGAAGAAAUAAAAAAAGGUGUGAACACAAAGAUUUAAGAAAAAAAUACAAAAUAUAUAAAAUAAAAUUUGAGAAAAAGAAGAAAAAAUAAAAAUGAAGAGGCAAAAAAUGAAAUAAAACAAAAAGAAAAAAAUUUAUAGAAAAUUUUAAAACAAAGAAAAAAGCGAACAAAAGAGAAUGAAAGCACAUAAAAAAAGUAAAAAAGAAGAAAAUUUUGAAAAGAGAAAAAGUUAAUGAAAAAUUAUAAAAAUGCAAUAGAAAAUAACCAAGAAUGAUAAAAGAAAAAAGAUAGAAAAAAAAAAUUCCAAAACUUUAUAAAAAUUUAUGAAAUUAUAAUAAAGAAAGAAAAUAAAAUAAGAAAAAAUUAAAGCAAAAGAAAAAGAUAAUAAAGCAUGAAAAGAAAAAAAACAAAAUACAACAAAAAAUUAUAAAAAGUAAGAAAAUGAAAAAGGACAAAAAUUGAAUAAAAAUUUCAAAAAUGAAAUGGAAUGACAAAAUGAAAAAAAAAAUUAGUUUAAAAAAUACAAAAAUUAAAAAACAUAUAAGACCAAACAAUCUAAAAAGUCUGACAAAAAUUAAAAAAGAGAAAAGUUAAUGCAAAAUAAAAAAAAAAGUAUGAGAAUUUAAAAACGCAAAUAAGAAAUGAAAGGAAAUUUGUGGAAAAAAAGAAAGACAAAGAUUUGGAAUAAAAAAGAGAAAAAUAAAAAUUUUUAAAACAACGAAAAAUUAAAAAAAGUAAAAAUGAAAACAUAUGAAAAAAAAGCAAAAAGAAGGAAAAUUGCAAAGGGAAAAAGUUAUUAAAAAUUUACAAAGUAAAAAAAAUUAGGGAAUCAAAAAAUAUAAAAGGAAAAAAUAAAAAUAAACAAAGUAAGAAAAUAAAAAUUAGGGAAUCAAAAAUAUAAAAAGACAAAAUGAAUAAAAAUUUCGAAUAUAAAAAGAAAGUGCACAAAAAAAGAAGUUUGAGGUUUUAAAAUUACAAAGAAGAAAUAAAAAAAGGUGUGAACAAAAAGAUUUAAGAAAAAAAUAACAAAUGAAAAUACAAAAUAUAUAAAAAAAUAUUUGAGAAAAAAUGAGAAAAAGAAGAAAAAAUAAAAAUGAAGAGGCAAAAAUAUGAAAUAAAACAAAAAGAAAAAAAAUACAAAAAAAGGACAAAAAUUGAAUAAAAAUUUCAAAAAUGAAAUGGAACGACAAAAUGAAAAAAAAAAGUUUAAAAAAGACAAAAAAAAUGAAAAACGUAUAAGUCCUAACAAUAUAAAAAGUCAGACAAAAAAUUAAAAAAGAGAAAAGUUAAUGCAAAAAAAAAAAAGUAUGAGAAUUUAAAAAUGCAAAUAAGAAAUGAAAGGAAAUGUGUGGAAAAAAAAGAGAAGCAAGAAAAGACAAAAGAUUUGGAAUAAAAAUAGAAAAAUAAAAAUUUUUAAAACAACGAAAAAAUUAAAACCAGUAAAAAUGAAAGCAUAUGAAAAAAAAGCAAAAAGAAGGAAAAUUGUGAAGGAAAAAGUUAUUAAAAAAUUACAAAGUUGAAAAAAAAUAAAUUAAGCGAAAAAAUUAAAUAAAAUACCCAGAAAGGAAAAAUAAAAAUAAACAAAGUAAGAAAAUAAAAAAUUAGCGAAGCAAAAAAUAUAAAAAGACAAAUGAAUAAAAAUUUCAAAUAUAAAAUGGAAAAAACUUUUAGUUUAGAAUGUAGAAAGAAAAACAAAAAAAAAAAAAACAAAUAGAGGAAAAAGAUAUAAAAUAUGAAAGAUGAAAAAUAAAAUAAAAGAAAGUGCACAAAAAAGAAGUUUGAGGUUUUAAAAUUAUAAAGAAGAAAUAAAAAAAGGUGCGAACAAAAAGAUUUAAGAAAAAAAUAAAAAAUGAAAAUGCAAAAUAUAUAAAAUAAAAUUUGAGAAAAAGAAGAAAAAAAUAAAAAAUGAAGAGGCAAAAAUAUGAAAAAAAAAUAAAAAGAAAAAAAUUUAUAGAAAAUUUUAAAACAAAGAAAAAAGUGAACAAAAAAAAAUGAAAGCACAUAAAAAAAAGUAAAAAAAAGAAGAAAAAUUCGGAAGGAGAAAAAGUUAAUGAAAAAUUAUAAAAAUGCAAUAGAAAAUAACCAAGAAUGAUAAAAGAAAAAAAGAUAGAAAAAUAAAAAAUUCCAAAACUUUAUAAAAAUUUAUGAAAUUAUAAAUAAAGAAAGAAAAUAAAACACGAAAAAAAAUUAAAGCAAAAGAAAAAAGAUAAAUAAAGCACAAAAAAAAAAACAAAAAUACAACAAAAAAUAUAAAAAGUAAGAAAAUGAAAAAGGACAAAAAUUGAAUAAAAAUUUCAAAAAUGAAAUGGAAUGACAAAAUGAAAAAAAUUAGUUUAAAAAAUACAAAAAAUUGAAAAACAUAUAAGUUCUAACAAUAUAAAAAGUUUGGGAAUUUAAAAACACAAAUAAGAAAUGAAAGGAAAUUUAUGGAAAAAAAAAAGAAAAGACAAAAGAUUUGGAAUAAAAAAUAGAAAAAUAAAAUUUUUAAAACGACGAAAAAUUAAAAUAAGAAAAAAAAUUAAAGCAAAAGAAAAAAGAUAAAUAAAGCAUGAAAAAAGAAAAAAAAAAAAACAAAAAAUUAUAAAAGGUAAGAAAAUGAAAGAGGACAAAAAAUGAAUAAAAAUUUCAAAAAUGAAAUGGAAUGACAAAAUGAAAAUAAAAUUAGUUUAAAAAAUAAAAAAAAUUGAAAAACAUAUAAGACCUAACAAUAUAAAAAGUCAGACAAAAAAUUAAAAAAGAGAAAAGUUAAUGCAAAAUAAAAAAAAAGUAUGAGAAUUUAAAAGCGCAAAUAAGAAAUGAAAGGAAAUUUGAGGAAAAAAAGAGACAAAAGAUUUGGAAUAAAAAAUAGAAAAAUAGAAAAUUUUAAAACAACAAAAAAAAUUAAAACAAGUAAAAAUGAAAGCAUAUGAAAAAAAAGCAAAAAGAAGGCAAAUUAUGAAGGGAAAAAGUUAUUAAAAAAUUACAAAGUAGAAAAAAAGAAAAUAAAAAAAUAAAUUAAGAGAAAAAAUUAAAUAAAAUACCAAAAAAGGAAAAAUAAAAAUAAACAAAGUAAGAAAAUAAAAAAUUAGCGAAUAAAAAAAUAUAAAAAGACAAAAUGAAUAAAAAUUUCAAAUAUAAAACGAAAAAAACUAUUGGUUCAGAAUGUACAAAGAAAAAUAAAAAAAAUAUAACAAACAGAGGAAAAAGAUAUAAAAUAUGAAAGAUGAAAAAUAAAAUAAAAGAAAGUGCACAAAAAAAGAAGUUUGAGGUUUUAAAACUAUAAAGAAGAAAUAAAAAAAGGUGUGAACAAAAAGAUUUAAGAAAAAAAAAGAAAAUACAAAAUAUAUAAAAUAAAAUUUGAGAAAAAGAAGAAAAAAUAAAAAAUGAAGAGGCAAAAAUAUGAAAUAAAGAAAAAGAAAAAAUUUAUAGAAAAUUUUAAAACAAAGAAAAGUGAACAAAAAAGAAUGAUGGCAUAUAAAAAAAGUAAAAAAAGAAGAAAAAUUUGGAAGGAGAAAAAGUUAAUGAAAAAAUAUAAAAAUGCAAUAGAAAAUAACCAAGAAUGAUAAAAGAAAAAAAGAUAGAAAAGUAAAAAAUUCUAAAACUUUAUAAAAAUUUAUGAAAUUAUAAAUAAAGAAAGAAAAAAAAAUAAAAUAAAAUAAGAAAAAAAAGUAAGCAAAAGAAAAAAGAUAAUUAAAGCAAAAAAAAACAAAAAUACAACAAAAAAUAUAAAAAGUAAGAAAAUAAAAAAAGGACAAAAAUUGAAUAAAAUUUCAAAAAUGAAAUGGAAUGACAAAAUGAAAAAAAAAUUGUUUUAACAAAAAAUUGAAAAACAUAUAAGACCUAAUAAUAUAAAAGUCAGAGAAAAAAUUAAAAAGAGCAAAGUUAAUGCAAAAUAAAAAAAAAGUAUGAGAAUUUAAAAACGCAAAUAAGAAAUGAAAGGAAAUUUGUGGGAAAAAAAAAAGAAAAGACAAAAGAUUUGGAAUAAAAAACAGAAAAAUAAAAAUUUUAAAACAAUGAAAAAUUAAAACAAGUAAACAUGAAAGCAUAUGUAAAAAAAGCAAAAAGAAGGAAAAUUGUGAAGGGAAAAAGUUAUUAAGAAAUUACAAAGUAGAAAAAAAUAAGAAAAUAAAAAAAAUAAAUAAAAUACCAAAAAAGGAAAAAAUAAAAAAUUAGCGAAUCAAAAAAAUAUAAAAAGACAAAAUGAAUAAUCAAAUAUAAAAUGGAAAAAACUUUUAGUUUAGAAUUUACAAAGAAAAAGAAAAAAAAUAACAAAUAGAGGAAAAAGAUAUAAAAUAUGAAAGAUGAAAAAUAAAAUAAAAGAAAGUGCACAAAAAAGAAGUUUGAGGUUUUAAAGUUAUAAAGAAGAAAAAAAAAAGGUGUGAACAAAAAGAUUUAAGAAAAAAAUAAAAAAUGAAAAUACAAAAUAUAUAAAAUAAAAUUUGAGAAAAAGAAGAAAAAAAAUAAAGAAUGAAGAGGCAAAAAUAUGAAAUAAAACAAAAAGAAAAAAAUUUAUAGAAAAUUUUAAAACAAAGAAAAAACUGAACGAAAAAGAAUGAAAGCACAUAAAAAAAAGUAAAAAAAGAAGAAAAAUUCGGAAGGAGAAAAAGUUAAUGAAAAAUUAUAAAAAUGCAACAGAAAAUAACCAAGAAUGAUAAAAGAAAAAAAGAUAGAAAAAUAAAAAAUUUCAAAACUUUAUAAAAAUUUAUGAAAUUAUGAAUAAAGAAAGAAAAUAAAAUAAGAAAAAAAAUUAAAGCAAAAGAAAAAAGAUAGAUAAAGCACGAAAAAAGAAAAAAAAACAAAAAUACAACAAAAAAUUAUAAAAAGUAAGAAAAUGAAAAAGGACAAAAAUUGAAUAAAAAUUUCAAAAAUGAAAUGGAGUGACAAAAUGAAAAAAAAAAUUAGUUUAAAAAAUACAAAAAUUUAAAAAACAUAUAAGACCAAACAAUCUAAAAAGUCUGACAAAAAAUUAAAAAAGAGAAAAGUUAAUGCAAAAUUAAAAAAAAAAAGUAUGAGAAUUUAAAAACGCAAAUAAGAAAUGAAAGGAAAUUUGUGGAAAAAAAAAGAAAAGACAAAAGAUUUGGAAUAAAAAAGAGAAAAAUAAAAAUUUUUAAAACAACGAA
This 7161-nucleotide long non-coding RNA is filed under the name Durio zibethinus. Its description in RNAcentral is "long non-coding RNA (DZIB_LNC002163)". Lineage: Eukaryota; Viridiplantae; Streptophyta; Magnoliopsida; Malvales; Malvaceae. The record is from RNAcentral.